This 581-nucleotide ribosomal RNA is filed under the name uncultured Legionella sp. Its description in RNAcentral is "bacterial SSU rRNA". It matches the Rfam family "Bacterial small subunit ribosomal RNA", at positions 224 to 822 of the family's 1533-position model. Lineage: Bacteria; Pseudomonadati; Pseudomonadota; Gammaproteobacteria; Legionellales; Legionellaceae. The record is from RNAcentral.
GAUUAGCCUGCGUCCGAUUAGCUCGUUGGUGGGGUAACGGCUCACCAAGGCGACGAUCGGUAGGUGGUCUGAGAGGACGAUCACCCAGACUGGGACUGAGACACGGCCCAGACUCCUACGGGAGGCAGCAGUCGGGAAUUUUGCGCAAUGGACGAAAGUCUGACGCAGCAACGCCGCGUGAGGGAUGAAGGCCUUCGGGUUGUAAACCUCUUUUAUCAGGGAAGAUAAUGACGGUACCUGAUGAAUAAGUCACGGCUAACUACGUGCCAGCAGCCGCGGUAAUACGUAGGUGACAAGCGUUGUCCGGAUUUACUGGGCGUAAAGAGCGCGCAGGCGGUCGUUCAAGUCGAGUGUGAAAGCCCCCGGCUCAACUGGGGAGGGUCAUUCGAUACUGAUCGACUGGAAGGCAGGAGAGGGUAGUGGAAUUCCCGGUGUAGUGGUGAAAUGCGUAGAUAUCGGGAGGAACACCAGUGGCGAAGGCGACUACCUGGCCUGUUCUUGACGCUGAGGCGCGAAAGCUAGGGGAGCAAACGGGAUUAGAUACCCCGGUAGUCCUAGCUGUAAACGAUGUCAACUAGCUG